Pavo cristatus (Indian peafowl) is the source of this 1551-nucleotide long non-coding RNA. Lineage: Eukaryota; Metazoa; Chordata; Aves; Galliformes; Phasianidae. The record is from Ensembl.
GGGGCCACAGGGGCGUGUGGGGCAGCCAGGCCCCCCUGGAGAACCGGGCCGCCCUGGACUACCUGGACCUCCAGGACCUGUGGGACCACGAGGGCCACCAGGAGAGAGCGUUGAGCAGCCAGGCAAGAAGGGGGACAGGGUGAGUGCCCCCUGAAUCUACACAUCUUGGAGUCCCAGGCACAGGGACCUCCUCCCAGCCACAGCGGGAGAGGGGGGACCUGGGAGGAGUAUGGCCCUGCUGUGAUGCUCCUCUCUCCUGCAGGGCUUCCCUGGAGCUGAUGGGCGGCCGGGGCUUCCUGGCCCCUCCGGGAACCCUGGGUCCCCUGGCCAGCCGGUGAGUGUGGAUGUACCCAUGGGUUUGCUGGUGCUGAUCAAGCCUUGACCAAUGGGCUCUAUCCAUCCAUCAGCCUACCUUGCCUGCUCCCUAAGCUCUCUUCCUACCCAUUCUCUGUGCUGGGGUGGUCUCCCUUGUUGGUGGGAUCAUUGAUGUCUCCACGCCAUCCCAUCCUAACCCAUGCCAUCCCAUCUCAACCUGUGCCAUGCCUUCCCAUGCCAUGCCAUGCCAUGCCAUGUCAUGUCAUCCCAUCCCUGCUUCACUGGCUGGCAGGGACAAUGCUUUCACCUCUUGUUCUGCUGUUUUCCAGGGCAACCAGGGCAUUCCUGGCCCCCGAGGGGAUCCUGGGCCACGGGGAACAACGGGGCAUCCUGGCCUGAAGGGGGAAAAAGGCGAGCCGGUAGGUGCUGGGCAGAGGGCCACAGGUGGACAUCUUAUCCCUUCUGCCUCCUAAGCUUGGCACUGGGGAGAGACUUGGCAGGGAGUAUGGUGGCACUGAUUUUCUUCUUUUUUUUUAAUUACUUUUUCCCCUCAUUCAGGGAGAGCCCAGAGUGAUCGUGGAUGGAGCACAGGGGUUGCCAGGACGGAAAGGGGAGCCAGGCACACCGGGUAGCCCCGGUCCCCCUGGCAACCCUGGCCCACGAGGUCCCUUUGGUGACCCAGGUCCUCCGGGUCCCCUUGGGCCAAUGGGGCCACCAGGACCUCCAGGAGACUCUGUGAAGGUAAGUCCCAGCUGGUGCUGUGUGGGGAUGGAGAGACAGCUGGCACCUUGAAGAUGCUUCUCAUGCAGAGCUCCUGGUCCUGCAUGGCUGUAUUCAUUGUCUGUGACACACACAUCAUCCAUCCUUAUCAUGAGCAUGGCUCAUGCCCUGACCCUACUGCUGAUGUGCUCUGCCCAUCGUUACCCCCAUCGUUUGAGGGGGGGCAUGAAGAGAGCCCAGCCCCGCCCUUACCUGCUCUCUUUUACCUUGUAGGGGGAGAAGGGUGAUCGAGGGGAGAGGGUAAGUGUCCAUGUUGGCUUGGUACCUCUGCCUCCCAGGGCACUGGAAAGGGCUGAGCUAUGGGGCUGCCAUGCAGGAGCUCAGCCCUCUUUCCAUAGGGUCCCCCUGGACUGGUCGAUGGGGCAGUGCCUCGAGGGGAGCCAGGCCCUCCGGUGAGUGCUCGGCUCAGGGUGGGGAGCAGGGCUGUGAGUCCUCCCAGGGGCUGAGCUGUGCCCC